GAACGACGCUGGCGGCGUGGAUAAGACAUGCAAGUCGAACGCUUGUUUCGGGGUAGCAAUAUUCCGAGCAGGAGUGGCGCAAGGGUGCGUAACACGUGGGUAAUUUGCCGCGAAGCUGGGAACAACUCGUUGAAAGACGAGCUAAUACCCAAUGUGCUCCGCAAGGAGUAAAGCCGGGGACCGCAAGGCCUGGCACUUCGCGAUAAGCCCGCGGCCUAUCAGCUAGUUGGCGGGGUAAAAGCCCACCAAGGCUAAGACGGGUAGCUGGUCUGAGAGGACGACCAGCCACACUGGAACUGAGACACGGUCCAGACACCUACGGGUGGCAGCAGUCGAGAAUUUUUCACAAUGGGCGCAAGCCUGAUGGAGCGACGCCGCGUGGGGGAUGAAGGGCUUCGGCUCGUAAACCCCUGUCAUUUGCGAACAAGGGCGCCAACCUAACAUGUUGUCGCUUGAUAGUAGCAGAAGAGGAAGGA
This 476-nucleotide ribosomal RNA is filed under the name uncultured bacterium. RNAcentral's name for it is "bacterial SSU rRNA". It matches the Rfam family "Bacterial small subunit ribosomal RNA", at positions 33 to 492 of the family's 1533-position model. The record is from RNAcentral.